Non-coding RNA from Dipodomys spectabilis (banner-tailed kangaroo rat), 342 nucleotides. The record is from the annotation of a RefSeq genome assembly. Lineage: Eukaryota; Metazoa; Chordata; Mammalia; Rodentia; Heteromyidae.
AUGCGGCGUUUGGGCCGAGACGCAGCUGCUCCUCUGUCCACAGCUGUGCUGUCCCAGGUGCAGCUGCAGGAGUCAGGCCCUGGCCUGCGGAGGCCUGUGCAGAUGCCGUCCCUCUCUUGUGCGGCCUCUGGUGACUCCAUCAGCAUGGUGACUGCGGAGCUGGACCUGACAGGCCUCAGGGAAACGCUGGAGUGGACUGGACACAUCUAUAAAUGUGGGAGCACCGCAUACAGCCCGAGCCUCCAGAGCAGAGUCACCAUGACAGUGCACACCUCCAAGGACCAGUGCUCCCUGCAGCUGAGCUCCGUGACCAUGGAGGACACGGCCUUGCACUAUGUGUAG